CGGAGUUGACGUCAACGGAGUCAGUGUUAGGGGCCCCCAAGCAGAGUCUGGAAAAGGGGGAUGGGAUGUGGGUGUGAAGGGAUGCAGCCCCCCCAAAAGAAAUCGGGGUGAAUCAGAAAUACCUACUAAUGAUGCCCAAAUGCAAAACCUGAGAAGAGAGAGAGGGAUAAACGACAAGCAUAUAUUUGUCUAAAAUCGGGAAAAAAGAAAAACCAUGAAAAAUCGAGGCAGAAACACAUACGUUGAGGUCUAACCACGAACGAUAAAGGUGGAAGAAAGGACUUUUCUGCCUGCAGCACCCAAGCACUAAGCUAAUUUCCUUAAUAAACGAAGAGCUAUUGGAAACCAACAAGGGAAAGACAAAAGCAAACCAAAAAAGGGGGCAAAAGAGACCGCAAGUCACAGGACAAUGCAAAUGGCUGGAAGAAUCUUGACCUGACUGUCUGCAUAGCGAAACGCCAACCUGAGAUACCGGGUGAAGGCGGUUUAUGGCAGCGCGCUGAAUCGCAUGUGGUCAACCAUCAUUACGUGAAUCCACUGCAUAGAAUAGCAAGAAAUUGCGAGGAGAGCGAGCAGGUAGAUUACCAAGCCUGCCUCUGAUAGAAGACGUUCCUAUGACACCAGGAAAAAUAACGGGGGUAUCGCUGCCAUAAAGGACCUGGAUCGGAAUAGAUCCAAUGAAAUAAAACCCGUUGCCGAAGUUUGUAGAAACGAAAUGUUGUUGCUUCCAAGCGUACAGUGCCAUUUUCCUGAGGCUAUAUGACCUGUGAUACCAUAACAGGCUGAAGGCUCAAGCAAAUGAAAAUUCCAGCUGUUCCCUAUCAAGUCUGACACCGAAGACAUUUGCCGAGAUGUAAAACGAUGCUACCAGUUUUGACAUUGGACUCCUGUUUUAGUGAAACUCAAGAGUCCCUAGCCACCUGGAAGAACUAACAGUUCAUCCUUUUGUAAAUUUGUGCCGUGCCAAGAAGUGGUGACUCACACCUUUAAUUCCAGCCUUUGGGAGGCAGAGGCGGACAGAUCUCUGAAUUCAAGGCCAGCUUGGUCUACAGAGUGAGUUCCAGGACCGCCAGAGCUCUACGGGAAAAACCUCAUCUCAAAGGUCCUGGAGGUGGAACUUACAUCGUCAAACUUGGCUGAAGGCUCCUUUAUCCUCUGAGCCAGCUCACUGGCCCCACAAAUACAGGUU
Mus caroli (Ryukyu mouse) is the source of this 1189-nucleotide non-coding RNA. The record is from RefSeq and is a predicted model, not a curated record. Lineage: Eukaryota; Metazoa; Chordata; Mammalia; Rodentia; Muridae.